RNAcentral lists this ribosomal RNA (447 nucleotides) under uncultured bacterium. RNAcentral's name for it is "bacterial SSU rRNA". It matches the Rfam family "Bacterial small subunit ribosomal RNA", at positions 328 to 792 of the family's 1533-position model. The record is from RNAcentral.
CGCCCAGACUCCUACGGGAGGCAGCAGUGGGGAAUAUUGCACAAUGGGGGAAACCCUGAUGCAGCAACGCCGCGUGAGUGAAGAAGUAUUUCGGUAUGUAAAGCUCUAUCAGCAGGGAAGAAAAUGACGGUACCUGAGUAAGAAGCCCCGGCUAACUACGUGCCAGCAGCCGCGGUAAUACGUAGGGGGCAAGCGUUAUCCGGAUUUACUGGGUGUAAAGGGAGCGUAGACGGCGAUACAAGUCUGAAGUGAAAGCCCGGGGCUCAACCCCGGGACUGCUUUGGAAACUGUGUUGCUGGAGUGCUGGAGAGGCAAGCGGAAUUCCUAGUGUAGCGGUGAAAUGCGUAGAUAUUAGGAAGAACACCAGUGGCGAAGGCGGUUUGCUGGACAGUAACUGACGUUGAGGCUCGAAAGCGUGGGGAGCAAACAGGAUUAGAUACCCUUGUA